Molecule: transfer RNA, 73 nt
Filed under: Camelus bactrianus (Bactrian camel)
Lineage: Eukaryota; Metazoa; Chordata; Mammalia; Artiodactyla; Camelidae
Also listed under: 3 other names
Rfam family: tRNA
About the family: Transfer RNA (tRNA) molecules are approximately 80 nucleotides in length. Their secondary structure includes four short double-helical elements and three loops (D, anti-codon, and T loops).
Source: Rfam by way of RNAcentral
GAGGGUAUAGCUGAGUGGUAGAGGUACAUGCUUAGCAUGCCUGAGAUCCUGGGUUCAAUCCCCAGUACCUCUG